CCAAUUAUCAAGGGGUGCCUACGAGUGUAGGCUGAGAUGAUACCCUCUAACCUGAUCUGGAUUAUGCCAGCGUAGGGAUGGAUAGCAGACAAUAAA
Molecule: regulatory RNA element, 96 nt
Rfam family: TPP riboswitch aptamer (THI element)
About the family: Vitamin B(1) in its active form thiamin pyrophosphate (TPP) is an essential coenzyme that is synthesised by coupling of pyrimidine and thiazole moieties in bacteria.
Source: Rfam